GCCAGGAUAGCUCAGUGGCAGAGCAACGCACUCGUAACGCGUGGGUCGCGGGUUCAAAUCCCGCUCCUGGCUCAA
RNAcentral lists this transfer RNA (75 nucleotides) under Candidatus Moraniibacteriota bacterium. RNAcentral's name for it is "Candidatus Moranbacteria bacterium (hot springs metagenome) tRNA-Thr". It matches the Rfam family "tRNA". From Rfam's summary of the family: Transfer RNA (tRNA) molecules are approximately 80 nucleotides in length. Their secondary structure includes four short double-helical elements and three loops (D, anti-codon, and T loops). The record is from RNAcentral. Lineage: Bacteria; Candidatus Moraniibacteriota.